This 441-nucleotide ribosomal RNA is filed under the name uncultured bacterium. RNAcentral's name for it is "partial 16S ribosomal RNA". It matches the Rfam family "Bacterial small subunit ribosomal RNA", at positions 338 to 795 of the family's 1533-position model. The record is from RNAcentral.
CCUACGGGGGGCAGCAGUGGGGAAUAUUGCACAAUGGGGGAAACCCUGAUGCAGCGACGCCGCGUGAGUGAAGAAGUAUUUCUGUAUGUAAAGCUCUAUCAGCAGGCAAGAAGAAAGCCGGUACCUGACUAAGAAGCCCCGGCUAACUACGUGCCAGCAGCCGCGGUAAUACGUAGGGGGCAAGCGUUAUCCGGAUUUACUGGGUGGAAAGGGAGCGUAGACGGCUGUGCAAGUCUGAAGUGAAAGCCCAGGGCUUAACCCUGGGACUGCUUUGGAAACUGUGGAGCUAGAGUGCUGGAGAGGUAAGUGGAAUUCCUAGUGUAGCGGUGAAAUGCGUAGAUAUUAGGAGGAACACCAGUGGCGAAGGCGGCUUACUGGACAGUAACUGACGUUGAGGCUCGAAAGCGUGGGGAGCAAACAGGAUUAGAUACCCGGGUAGUC